Molecule: ribosomal RNA, 484 nt
Filed under: uncultured bacterium
Lineage: Bacteria
Description: partial 16S ribosomal RNA
Rfam family: Bacterial small subunit ribosomal RNA
Source: RNAcentral
AGUGAACGCUGGCGGCAGGCCUAACACAUGCAAGUCGAGCGGCAGCGCGGGGGCAACCCUGGCGGCGAGCGGCGGACGGGUGAGGAAUUCGUCGGAAUCUGCCUUUUUGUGGGGGAUAACGUAGGGAAACUUACGCUAAUACCGCAUACGUUCUACGGGAGAAAGUGGGGGACCGCAAGGCCUCACGCAGAAAGAUGAGCCGACGACCGAUUAGCUAGUUGGUGGGGUAAAGGCCCACCAAGGCGACGAUCGGUAGCUGGUCUGAGAGGAUGAUCAGCCACACUGGGACUGAGACACGGCCCAGACUCCUACGGGAGGCAGCAGUGGGGAAUAUUGGACAAUGGGCGCAAGCCUGAUCCAGCCAUGCCGCGUGUGUGAAGAAGGCCUUCGGGUUGUAAAGCACUUUUGUCCGGAAAGAAAUCCCUGGAGCUAAUACCUUCGGGGGAUGACGGUACCGGAAGAAUAAGCACCGGCUAACUUCGUG